CUUCCACCGAAACCUCCCUUCACGAAAUUAACCUAGCCUCUCCACCAAAACUCCAAAACUCAUCUCCGCCGAAACCAACCUUCACCCCUCCAUCCAUCGACCAACUCCCACGUCUCCACCGUCAGCCGGCCGGCCACCAUCCCUCAUUCUGUCUUCUCCAAUCAAGCAGAGACCCAACAUCAUCUUCUCGACGCCAACAUAAGUUGUUGUCUUCUUCUCUAUCUUCCUCCUUUCCUACAUCCGGCCAACCACCUCCUCUCUAUCACCGCCGGUGGAGCUACUUACUCUCAUCUCUCCUGUUCAGGUUAGAAGAGGAGAGGCCAUAACUUCCUUUCAGCAGCCACCGCUCUUCCAUCCAUCAUCCGAAAACUUCUACUUAGGUUAGAGGAGGAACUGAAGCCUUCCCCUUUCUCUCUUCGGGUUAGAAGAGAGGAAGCUCCACUCCUACUUCCGGUAAUCCCCUCUUUCACCGACUCUUCUCUUCCUCAUCAAGCUCUGGAUUCAUUUUCACCACAUCACCACCUCUCCUCUUCUGGGUUAGGAAGAGGAAAGCUUUAUACCUACCACCGACAGCCCCCAUUCCCUCUCCACUUCCGGUUAGAAGUGGAGAGUUCAUUUCCUCCACUCCGGCAGCCCUUCAUCGUCUCCAAACAGCUUGCUCCACUCUGGCAGCCCUCCAUAUUCCAUCUUCUGGUUAGAAGAGGGGAAGAGGUCACUUCUAGAAAACCACUACAUCUGAAGGGACCACUAGGAAAAACACCAAAUUACCCAUUUCAACUGAUGCUCAAUUGAGAACAAUGCGAAAGGGAUCUGACGACCAUCUUGUUCUAAACAUCGAGUCUGGGUCUGAUCAUUCAAUUGCAGCAAAGUCUGAUGCUAAAGGGUUUCCAGGGGCCAUCUUCUGAUGCACCGGCCUAGUGCAAGGCUAGGUCUCAUGGCGUAUAUGAUCUUCAUGCAUCUAUGGUUGCUAGGAGUCAUAUUAUGAUAUGACCAAUAAAUUUAGGUUACAAAUUAUAUGAUUAGAAUGUAAUAUAUCUUUUCAUUAUUUUUUAUACAUCUAGUUUAUAAACUGGAACUUGAAUUCAACAAUUCAUAAACAGAUCCAAAGAUGUAAAGUGAUAAAAAUUCCUUAAACACUAUUUCUUCAUGCAGUAAUGGUUUGAAUGGUGGAUGACAUGUGGUAGAAUAGUAUCCAUAAGGAGUAUGUAAUUUCAUUAUAUUAUAAUGGUUUAUUUUGUAUGGAUUUGAUUUGCAUCAAAUUUGUUGUAAAAUUUUAAUUUAUUAUUUUCAUCAAAUUAUUUUUUUUUUAAUAUAGUUAAGACCAUCAACAACAUACGUUUGUGCGCUGCGGAUAGUAUUUUUCUGUUAGCAUAGUCAUGAUCAGAGCCUAAUUUUAUUUUACAAUUAUCUGAGUGUUAUUGAUUAACUGUUCUGUCCUUUCUUAUGGUUUUUUUUUUUUUUUA
RNA transcript from Zingiber officinale, 1463 nucleotides. It is a transcript of the gene named SPX domain-containing protein 1-like, with no coding region annotated. Lineage: Eukaryota; Viridiplantae; Streptophyta; Magnoliopsida; Zingiberales; Zingiberaceae. The record is from RefSeq and is a predicted model, not a curated record. The transcript has 3 exons.